This 27-nucleotide non-coding RNA is filed under the name Homo sapiens (human). Lineage: Eukaryota; Metazoa; Chordata; Mammalia; Primates; Hominidae. The record is from RNAcentral.
UAAGCCGGACCAGGUGUGAGGAGGGGA